GGAACAAGGAGUGAGGGGCAUGACCGGGCCAGAAAAAGUUGCCAGGGGCCAGAGCAGUCGAUUUCAUUCUCGAUGCAGUGCUUUCAGCCCACGAGCGAGCGCCCGCAAUCCGAGGAGCGUGUUAAUCAGGUCCCUCUGUGUUUCUUGUGUGCAGAUGGGCUGGGGGAGGAGAGACUGAAGCAGAGAGCCCCCGGGGGAGGAUUUUGCAGGCCUAAGGGGGAGAAAGAGGGAGAGGGAGAGAGAACGUGCCUUGGGCUCUGGUGGUGACGUGGGGGCCACGUGGGAGGACACCAGAUGCACGAGGGAAGACUUGGGGUGGGGCGAGGGCAGAGAGGACUCCGGGAUUGUCGGGCGAGGUCGCGAGGUCGCCGAUAGCACGUGACUCCGGGUCGACCCGGCAAUUGGAGAGCCCUGGCCCCGCCCCUGACCCUGGAGUUGGCCCCGCCCGCUGAUCUGGGGAGGGAGCCAUUUUCACGGUUCCGCCCUGGAGGGCAGCAGGUGGUGUUGAGCCCGUCAGGAUGCUGACUGAGCUCGGUUGAGGCCUCUGUAUAAACUGCAAGCUUCUGGCGGUGGGGGCGGAGAGGUGCCCCUCCCUAGGUUCCCUGGCUGCUUAAAACUGCCCCUGGGGUGGCCUGCCUCCGUCUCCCGUGUCUCUCUGUGCUGCGUGCGCUCCGUGCGCUGGCCGGUUUCGGAUGCCAGGGGGACCCGGGCGUUGGCACCUGCAGGGCUCAGGACUUCACCCCCGGCUCCGGAGGGGCGGCGGGCCAUCAACUGAGUGGGGAAGACGAAAGAAGAGCCGCCUUGUGGGCUAGAAGGCUGAGCCCCAGAGAUGAACCUACCAGUCUGCUCUGCAGUCAGCUCCCCAGCACCACCUCACACGAGCUGGGUAACCUUAGAGGAAAACGCUGAAGCUCAGAGAGGUUGGGUCACUUUCCUGACAUCACACCGUAACCGGCAGAGCCCAGAGUGGACCCCAACCUGAGAUCAGAGAGGUAGCAACACCCCCUAACCAGCGGACACGCGAGGGCUGGCACAGUUUUCUGCGGGCCCGUCUUAGGAUCGGGAAGCAGCCAGCUCCGUGUGCAGAGUGAGGCUGGAUAAACGCUUUAGAGGCGGCGGCCAGAGCUGGGUCUAGAAUCCGUCCUCGGUCCCAGACUCCAGCACGUUGAUGCCACAUGGGGAGGGGCACAAAGGGAGCUGGUUUCGAGAUGCAGCGACGUGACAGCAGCCUCUUCAUGCUCAGAUUUCGUAUCAGUGCCUUGGUCGGGAAUAAAAGAUGUGCCACAGCUGCUGUGUCCCCUCGUCAGAGAGGUCGUGGGCAGUUGUAUCCACGCCGUGCUUUCUUUCCCUUGCGUUCUGGCUCUGGAACAGUCACGGUUUCGGUUUGAGCCAUCCAGGAGGCCAUUGCAAGCCUGUUAACAGUUCUGGGCUUCGUUCACGUGUAUCAGAGACGUGCAGGGCUCCGUCGUUAACACGCGUUGACGGGUGGUGAUGGCAAGCCACAAAGGGUUCAAGCUGCCUCCACUUUAGGGUCAAGAGUACAGACGCGUGCGUGAGAGAGAGAGCAGGCGACUCCCCCACUUAGUCGGCAAUUUCUCUCUCCUCCCAUUGUGCCACACAUACACGCACACGCGUGCACACACACACACACACACACACACACACACACACACGCUUGUGCCUGUACACAUGCUGUUGAUUGAUAUUCUCCCCUCACGCUAAGCUUGCUAAGUAGCAAUGAUUUUCUCCUGGCAAUUUCACUUCUAACCAGAGGCACCUGUAUUUCGAAAUUGUACAAAAGCCCCGUAUAUUUGAUACCAUGCGGGCUCUCGGUGGGUUUCAGAGGUGGAUUAAAUUCACCAACAAGGUGGUCGAUAGAACAUAAAAUAUGAAAGAGAUUGUAAUUUUGUGGUGGGUCCUUGUUGUAGGCAACCUCCCUCUCCCUGGGUGCGUCGAGGAGGGGCCCCUUCCUGCACUUCUAGUGUCUGUUUUAGGUCCGUGAGGGGGAAAGCAAGAGAAUUUCGAGUCGAGUGAAAAAGAAAACCCAGAGAGUUGGAGGCUUACAUUAGGUGGGAAAAGAACACCACCCUCAGGUGGAUGGGCGCGGGAGGACGUCUUCGUAAGGCGGUGGGUUCGGGGUUAAGCCUGGGUUUCCAAGAAGCCCCCUUGUUCUUGACUGUUAGGGGGUGGGGCCGUGGCUACCGCAUUGGGUCUCGUGGGUCACCGCGUGGAACUUGGGGAACC
Long non-coding RNA from Felis catus (domestic cat), 2244 nucleotides. RefSeq lists it as uncharacterized. NCBI's taxonomy places the organism in Eukaryota, Metazoa, Chordata, Mammalia, Carnivora, Felidae. The transcript has 3 exons. The record is from RefSeq and is a predicted model, not a curated record.